This 478-nucleotide ribosomal RNA is filed under the name uncultured bacterium. RNAcentral describes it as "partial 16S ribosomal RNA". It matches the Rfam family "Bacterial small subunit ribosomal RNA", at positions 28 to 507 of the family's 1533-position model. The record is from RNAcentral.
GAUGAACGCUGGCGGCGUGCUUAACACAUGCAAGUCGAACGGGAAUUAUUUUAUUGAAACUUCGGUCGAUUUAAUUUAAUUCUAGUGGCGGACGGGUGAGUAACGCGUGGGUAACCUGCCUUAUACAGGGGGAUAACAGUCAGAAAUGGCUGCUAAUACCGCAUAAGCGCACAGAGCUGCAUGGCUCAGUGUGAAAAACUCCGGUGGUAUAAGAUGGACCCGCGUUGGAUGAGCUUGUUGGCAGGGUAACGGCCUACCAAGGCGACGAUCCAUAGCCGGCCGGAGAGGGUGAACGGCCACAUUGGGACUGAGACACGGCCCAGACUCCUACGGGAGGCAGCAGUGGGGAAUAUUGCACAAUGGGGGAAACCCUGAUGCAGCGACGCCGCGUGAAGGAAGAAGUAUCUCGGUAUGUAAACUUCUAUCAGCAGGGAAGAUAGUGACGGUACCUGACUAAGAAGCCCCGGCUAACUACGUG